This is a long non-coding RNA of Malus domestica (apple), 695 nucleotides long. RefSeq lists it as uncharacterized. The record is from RefSeq and is a predicted model, not a curated record. Lineage: Eukaryota; Viridiplantae; Streptophyta; Magnoliopsida; Rosales; Rosaceae.
GAGGGGAGAGAAAGGAGAGAGAAGGAGGAGCACCAGACUACCCGGACCUUAACCCAAUUUUUGGCGACUGUUCUGAUGGGUUUUCCGUCGAUUUUCCUGCUUUCUUCAUCCUCUCACCACCCCCAAACCUAACCACCACAUCCCAGCAUCCAAAUAGAGCCAAAAUCGACGAGUUUUCGUCUUGAUUUCACGAAGAACACCCGUACAGGUGCCGUGAAACCCGAGCCUUCGAUCCACCAUUUUUGAAACAAUCACCCUUGACUAUCACCACCAAUCGACACCUCUUGAGCCUAGGAACAAACCCUAAACAAGUUUGGGGGUGGCAGAUCAUCGAAGUAGACAGAUCGAAGUUUACCCUUUUCGGGGUUUUCGACGGUUCGAGGGGUUUUCAGGCCAUUUUUCGACCGAACUGAACCUUGGCUCAGUGCACCAUUCCCAUGGUGUAGGCACUGAAUGUAUAGGUGACAGGCCUAAGUAGACCACGAGAAGUCGGUGGAGGUAGCAUGGCAUAGAUCAGAGCCUUGAAGCGUUUAGGUUACUCCUUUAUCACCCUUGUACUAUUUAUUUUGGGACUCUCUUUUGUGCACCAUAGGCUUGUCUUGGCCUAAUGAGGGCUGUGUAUUUUUGCGUACGAACUUGUAUGUAUCAUGUUGGGGUGACCCCACUAUCAUAUUUAUUUUGGGAUAUUGGUUUUA